AAGGACUGUGCUCCCAAUCCGCUUACGCUCAAGGAAGAACUGGAAGGCCCAGAACCAGCCUGCUGUCAGGAUCAGAACAAAAGAGGAGGACUGCAUAUGUAUGGACCCACUCCAGAUGGCACGGGGACGGGGGGAGUAGGAAAAGUGGCAUGAGACCAGGCCCACAGAGUAUGGCUGUGCAAGUUGUUCACUCUACAAGGGCACCUGGCCGGGGUCUUACCUUGAAUGGAGGAGAAGAGCUUGAAGAUGAGGGGACAGGCCAAGACAACUACCUGGCCCCGAGGGGUGGCUGGCCAGCAGAUGAGGAAAUGGAGGCACAGACUGAUUAGAAAACCAGCUCAAGGUCAUGUUGCUGCUCUCUCAUUCCUGUUGAGGGCUCUCUGGUGGAGCCUCUGUCUCACAGGUCACCUGCAGGCCAACACUCCCAGAAGCAGCUAGCACCAUGGUUGACCUCGUCCAGGUCCAGGGAAGGCCUCCCUCUCCAGGACUCCUUUAGAUUUCCCCAGCAUCCAGACCUCACCUGCCUAAGUGCUGUUGCCCUGGAAGCCACAGUGAGCACGAGCUCCAUCUUGCACCUUUACCAGCCAAUGGGGGUAAAGACAUUAGCUGAAAUACUUCUAAGGGGCCAGGCGUGGUGACUCAUGCUUGUAAUUCCAAGCACUUUGGGAGGCUGAGGCAGGUGGAUCACCUGAAGCCAGGAGUUCAAGAGCAGCCUGGCCAACAUGGCGAAACCCUGUCUCUACUAAAAAUACAAAAUUUA
This 760-nucleotide long non-coding RNA is filed under the name Homo sapiens (human). RNAcentral's name for it is "VIPR1 antisense RNA 1". The record is from RNAcentral. Lineage: Eukaryota; Metazoa; Chordata; Mammalia; Primates; Hominidae.